GGAAGCGUGCCUGAAUAUAAAGGGCUACUUUGAUAGAGUAGACCAUAGGACUUACCCUCCUCACUUCC
Molecule: transfer RNA, 68 nt
Filed under: Amphisbaena xera
Lineage: Eukaryota; Metazoa; Chordata; Lepidosauria; Squamata; Amphisbaenidae
Description: tRNA-Ile
Source: RNAcentral